RNAcentral lists this ribosomal RNA (233 nucleotides) under uncultured bacterium. Its description in RNAcentral is "partial 16S ribosomal RNA". It matches the Rfam family "Bacterial small subunit ribosomal RNA", at positions 794 to 1025 of the family's 1533-position model. The record is from RNAcentral.
UCCACGCAGUAAACGAUGAAUGUUAGUCGUUGGGUCUCUAGUAGAUUCAGUGAUGCAGUUAACACAUUAAACAUUCCGCCUGGGGGGUACGGUCGCAAGAUUAAAACUCAAAGGAAUAGACGGGGACCCGCACAAGUGGUGGAGCAUGUGGUUUAAUUCGAAAAUACGCGAAGAACCUUACCUAGCCUUGACAUUGAAGAAACACACUAGAGAUAGAGUGGUGCCCUUCGGGG